Molecule: ribosomal RNA, 207 nt
Filed under: Triticum aestivum (bread wheat)
Lineage: Eukaryota; Viridiplantae; Streptophyta; Magnoliopsida; Poales; Poaceae
Description: partial small subunit ribosomal RNA
Source: RNAcentral
AUGGCGGAGGCCUUAGCUAUCAAAUUUGGCCUAAAUUUAGCACAAAGGGCGGGAUGUAAUCGCCUAAUCAUCAACUCUGACAAUCUGGAGGUGAUUGAGACCAUGCAGGACGGAGGACAGUCGACGGGAGCGGCGGCGGCAAUCUUCGAUGACUGCUAUCACUAUGCUUGUGAUUUUAUUAUGACUAAAUUCGAACAUUGUAAUUGA